GAUUAAGUUAUUAAGGGCGCACGGUGGAUGCCUUGGCACUAGAAGCCGAUGAAGGACGUUACUAACGACGAUAUGCUUUGGGGAGCUGU
This 89-nucleotide ribosomal RNA is filed under the name Staphylococcus aureus. RNAcentral describes it as "partial 23S ribosomal RNA". It matches the Rfam family "Bacterial large subunit ribosomal RNA", at positions 1 to 89 of the family's 2925-position model. Lineage: Bacteria; Bacillati; Bacillota; Bacilli; Caryophanales; Staphylococcaceae. The record is from RNAcentral.